GGGUUGUGAGGUUAAGCGACUAAGCGUACACGGUGGAUGCCCUGGCAGUCAGAGGCGAUGAAGGACGUGCUAAUCUGCGAUAAGCGUCGGUGAGGUGAUAUGAACCGUUAUAACCGGCGAUUUCCGAAUGGGGAAACCCAGUGUGUUUCGACACACUAUCAUUAACUGAAUCCAUAGGUUAAUGAGGCGAACCGGGGGAACUGAAACAUCUAAGUACCCCGAGGAAAAGAAAUCAACCGAGAUUCCCCCAGUAGCGGCGAGCGAACGGGGAGGAGCCCAGAGCCUGAAUCAGUGUGUGUGUUAGUGGAAGCGUCUGGAAAGGCGCGCGAUACAGGGUGACAGCCCCGUACACAAAAAUGCACAUACUGUGAGCUCGAUGAGUAGGGCGGGACACGUGGUAUCCUGUCUGAAUAUGGGGGGACCAUCCUCCAAGGCUAAAUACUCCUGACUGACCGAUAGUGAACCAGUACCGUGAGGGAAAGGCGAAAAGAACCCCGGCGAGGGGAGUGAAAAAGAACCUGAAACCGUGUACGUACAAGCAGUGGGAGCCUCUUAAUGGGGUGACUGCGUACCUUUUGUAUAAUGGGUCAGCGACUUAUAUUCUGUAGCAAGGUUAACCGAAUAGGGGAGCCGAAGGGAAACCGAGUCUUAACUGGGCGUUAAGUUGCAGGGUAUAGACCCGAAACCCGGUGAUCUAGCCAUGGGCAGGUUGAAGGUUGGGUAACACUAACUGGAGGACCGAACCGACUAAUGUUGAAAAAUUAGCGGAUGACUUGUGGCUGGGGGUGAAAGGCCAAUCAAACCGGGAGAUAGCUGGUUCUCCCCGAAAGCUAUUUAGGUAGCGCCUCGUGAAUUCAUCUCCGGGGGUAGAGCACUGUUUCGGCAAGGGGGUCAUCCCGACUUACCAACCCGAUGCAAACUGCGAAUACCGGAGAAUGUUAUCACGGGAGACACACGGCGGGUGCUAACGUCCGUCGUGAAGAGGGAAACAACCCAGACCGCCAGCUAAGGUCCCAAAGUCAUGGUUAAGUGGGAAACGAUGUGGGAAGGCCCAGACAGCCAGGAUGUUGGCUUAGAAGCAGCCAUCAUUUAAAGAAAGCGUAAUAGCUCACUGGUCGAGUCGGCCUGCGCGGAAGAUGUAACGGGGCUAAACCAUGCACCGAAGCUGCGGCAGCGACACUAUGUGUUGUUGGGUAGGGGAGCGUUCUGUAAGCCUGUGAAGGUGGCCUGUGAGGGUUGCUGGAGGUAUCAGAAGUGCGAAUGCUGACAUAAGUAACGAUAAAGCGGGUGAAAAGCCCGCUCGCCGGAAGACCAAGGGUUCCUGUCCAACGUUAAUCGGGGCAGGGUGAGUCGACCCCUAAGGCGAGGCCGAAAGGCGUAGUCGAUGGGAAACAGGUUAAUAUUCCUGUACUUGGUGUUACUGCGAAGGGGGGACGGAGAAGGCUAUGUUGGCCGGGCGACGGUUGUCCCGGUUUAAGCGUGUAGGCUGGUUUUCCAGGCAAAUCCGGAAAACCAAGGCUGAGGCGUGAUGACGAGGCACUACGGUGCUGAAGCAACAAAUGCCCUGCUUCCAGGAAAAGCCUCUAAGCAUCAGGUAACAUCAAAUCGUACCCCAAACCGACACAGGUGGUCAGGUAGAGAAUACCAAGGCGCUUGAGAGAACUCGGGUGAAGGAACUAGGCAAAAUGGUGCCGUAACUUCGGGAGAAGGCACGCUGAUAUGUAGGUGAAGCGACUUGCUCGUGGAGCUGAAAUCAGUCGAAGAUACCAGCUGGCUGCAACUGUUUAUUAAAAACACAGCACUGUGCAAACACGAAAGUGGACGUAUACGGUGUGACGCCUGCCCGGUGCCGGAAGGUUAAUUGAUGGGGUUAGCGGUAACGCGAAGCUCUUGAUCGAAGCCCCGGUAAACGGCGGCCGUAACUAUAACGGUCCUAAGGUAGCGAAAUUCCUUGUCGGGUAAGUUCCGACCUGCACGAAUGGCGUAAUGAUGGCCAGGCUGUCUCCACCCGAGACUCAGUGAAAUUGAACUCGCUGUGAAGAUGCAGUGUACCCGCGGCAAGACGGAAAGACCCCGUGAACCUUUACUAUAGCUUGACACUGAACAUUGAGCCUUGAUGUGUAGGAUAGGUGGGAGGCUUUGAAGUGUGGACGCCAGUCUGCAUGGAGCCGACCUUGAAAUACCACCCUUUAAUGUUUGAUGUUCUAACGUUGGCCCGUAAUCCGGGUUGCGGACAGUGUCUGGUGGGUAGUUUGACUGGGGCGGUCUCCUCCUAAAGAGUAACGGAGGAGCACGAAGGUUGGCUAAUCCUGGUCGGACAUCAGGAGGUUAGUGCAAUGGCAUAAGCCAGCUUGACUGCGAGCGUGACGGCGCGAGCAGGUGCGAAAGCAGGUCAUAGUGAUCCGGUGGUUCUGAAUGGAAGGGCCAUCGCUCAACGGAUAAAAGGUACUCCGGGGAUAACAGGCUGAUACCGCCCAAGAGUUCAUAUCGACGGCGGUGUUUGGCACCUCGAUGUCGGCUCAUCACAUCCUGGGGCUGAAGUAGGUCCCAAGGGUAUGGCUGUUCGCCAUUUAAAGUGGUACGCGAGCUGGGUUUAGAACGUCGUGAGACAGUUCGGUCCCUAUCUGCCGUGGGCGCUGGAGAACUGAGGGGGGCUGCUCCUAGUACGAGAGGACCGGAGUGGACGCAUCACUGGUGUUCGGGUUGUCAUGCCAAUGGCACUGCCCGGUAGCUAAAUGCGGAAGAGAUAAGUGCUGAAAGCAUCUAAGCACGAAACUUGCCCCGAGAUGAGUUCUCCCUGAGACUUAGAGUCUCCUGAAGGAACGUUGAAGACGACGACGUUGAUAGGCCGGGUGUGUAAGCGCAGCGAUGCGUUGAGCUAACCGGUACUAAUGAACCGUGAGGCUUAACCUUACAACGCCGAAG
This 2925-nucleotide ribosomal RNA is filed under the name Escherichia coli. Its description in RNAcentral is "bacterial LSU rRNA". It matches the Rfam family "Bacterial large subunit ribosomal RNA". Lineage: Bacteria; Pseudomonadati; Pseudomonadota; Gammaproteobacteria; Enterobacterales; Enterobacteriaceae. The record is from RNAcentral.